UUCGUCUUUAUUAUGUCAGUCUAGCAUUUAAACAGAAUUUGUAUCUAUGCUCUCAUUACUUUCGUCUCUACUUUAUAUUGCUACAACUAUGUUUAGCAGUCUAGUAAAUAAUUCAGCACGGUAGAAAAGUUUACGAUUUUUUUUCUAUUUAUUAUAAAAUGGCCAUACAUCUUUAAUACCUACACAUAUUCAUGGAUGUGAAUAAUUCAGCACACUAAAGUUUAUAAACUAAAUCAUUUCAGAUGCCCAGCUAAAUAUUUCAUAUAAUCGGUUACUUAUAAUUCUGGUUGCUAUGUUGUCAUCAAUCAUGUUAACUAUAUAUUUGACAC
Molecule: long non-coding RNA, 329 nt
Filed under: Brassica napus (rape)
Lineage: Eukaryota; Viridiplantae; Streptophyta; Magnoliopsida; Brassicales; Brassicaceae
Description: long non-coding RNA (BNAP_LNC018899)
Source: RNAcentral